CUGUGGUGCCGAAACAAUGUUGUUUUGGUCAAUUUUUAUUUUCUUUUUCUUUUUCUUCUUCUUCUUUUCUUUUCCUCGUUGUCUUCUCUCUCCGAGGCAGGCUGAAAACCCUAACCCACCUGACAGAGCAAGAACAGAAAGAUGAAAUGAAAAAGAGGGAGAUGAAGGCAAGGCGAUGCAACGGUAAUGGAUUCUCAACCUCUAUUUGUUUUCUUGUUUGCAUUCACAGAGAUAAAAGAGGGACAACAACAAAAAGUUCUUAUUUAGGUAUUCAACUUUGGGGUUCUUUAAUUUCUAUGUGGAUUAGAUAUGAAGAUUGAAGCCUAUAGAGCUCUCAAUCUGUGUCUAUGAAGCAAAUUUAGCUUUGAUUUUGAUCCUAGGUUACCUAGAAAUUCGUGUAUGAAACUGUACAUGUGAGAGAUGGACCAAACUGUCGAACGUUCGCCAAAUGCACAGAGGGGUUUUCAAGUUCAAGCUCCAUUGAUUUUGGAUGUAGAAAGGGAAAAAUGAGAGAGGUAAAGAUGAAGAUAGAAAGAUAAAGCAAAGGCCAAAGAUUUUGACAGAGAUGAAAGAAAACACAAGGAUGAGGAAACAUUAAAGUGAGAGAAUUAAAUUGAAGGAACAAAUUUGGUUAGACUACUAAAGUGGCUCCUUUGGUUGGCAUGAAUAGUGACUUGAUUGCUCGCAAUGAAAUUGGAUCAAAAUGAAUGUAUUUAAAUUAAUAUGAAUGUUAUAGAUUAAUAUUUGAAAUGACAAUAUUGGUUGAAUAAAAUGAUAUACUGGUUGAUUGAAUGAAA
Molecule: non-coding RNA, 797 nt
Organism: Camellia sinensis
Lineage: Eukaryota; Viridiplantae; Streptophyta; Magnoliopsida; Ericales; Theaceae
Source: RefSeq, a predicted model, not a curated record